CGAUCCUCUGCAGCCCCCAGGGCAGUCUGCGCCAGCCGGAUGCAGCUCCUCCCACCUCUUACCCUCACCCGGACCCAGAAAGGGCCGAGGAGACAGAAAGGCGCGAGCCUGAGCCCCCUAGGGUCGGCUAAGUCUUUCCAGGGAAGAAGAUCCGCGGCGGGAGCGGGUGGACGAAAGGUGUACCGAAUGCAAAAAAGUAGACCGACUCAAAUGGACGAUAAAAAGCCAAGGAAACCGAGUUUGACUUCCUUCCCAAUUUUGAAAGCAAAAAAGAAGCAAAAUUUCACCUCUGUGAAGGGUCCCACUUUUCCUCCUGAGAUCUACGCGGUUGAAAAUAAGCCUUUGGCUCAAGUCCAGAAGCCACCCUCCAAGAUCAAGAACCUCAAAAUGACCCGACUUUUGCAUAAGGGUACAAACACCAACAUUACUUCACUCCCUUUUAUGGAUACCAAGGAGAAGAAGAAUGUGAUCAACCUCCCACACAUCAGCAACAAAAUUCUGCUGAAGCCAGGUGUGCUGUCCCGGGAAAUUCAAACACACAGUCAUAAGCUGGCCUCUGAGUACAAGGCUUUAGAAGCACCUUUCCACCCUAGCAUGAAGACUCAUGAACACAAGGUAGAAGAGAAACCACCAAAGAAGCACAAGGUGCCUCUGAUGGCAGCAGAAGCCCUAAAGAAUUUUAAGAGUAAGCUGUCUCCUUAUGAGCAAAGUGAAAUCCUGGGCUACACAGAGCUAUGGUUCCUGGGGCUUGAUGCUGAGAAACUCAAUGUGGCUCCAGAGAAAUUCAGCAAGACAAGUUUUGAUGAUGAACAUGGCUCCUAUCUGAAGGUCCUGCAUGACCACAUUGCCUACCGCUACGAGGUUCUGGAGAUGAUUGGAAAAGGGUCCUUUGGACAGGUGGCCAAGUGCUUGGAUCACAAAAACAAUGAGUUGGUGGCCCUGAAAAUCAUCAGGAACAAAAAGAGAUUUCACCACCAGGCCCUGGUGGAGCUGAGGAUCCUGGAAGCCCUCAGAAGGAAGGAUAAAGACAACAAGUACAAUGUGGUACACAUGAAGGACUUUUUCUACUUCCGAAAUCACCUCUGCAUCACCUUUGAACUUUUGGGAAUCAACUUGUAUGAGUUGAUGAAGAGUAAUAGCUUUCAAGGUUUUAGUCUAUCGGUAGUUCGGCGCUUCACCCUCUCUGUCUUGAAGUGCUUGCAAAUGCUUUACGUAGAGAAAAUCAUCCACUGUGAUCUCAAGCCUGAAAAUAUAGUGCUAUACCAAAAGGGCCAAAUCACAGUUAAAGUUAUUGACUUUGGGUCCAGUUGUUAUGAGCACCAGAAAGUAUACACCUAUAUCCAAAGCCGGUUCUACCGAUCCCCUGAAGUGAUUCUGGGUCACCCCUACAAUAUGGCCAUUGAUAUGUGGAGCCUGGGCUGCAUCUUGGCAGAGCUGUACACGGGUUACCCUCUGUUCCCAGGGGAGAAUGAGGUGGAGCAGCUGGCCUGCAUCAUGGAGGUGCUGGGUCUGCCGCCAGCCCACUUCAUUCAGACGGCCUCCAGGAGACAGACGUUCUUUGAUUCCAAAGGUUUUCCUAAAACUAUAACCAACAACAGGGGGAAAAAAAGAUACCCGGAUUCCAAGGAUCUCACGAUGGUGCUGAAAACCUAUGACACCAGCUUCCUGGACUUUCUCAGAAGGUGUUUGGUAUGGGAACCUUCUCUUCGUAUGACCCCUGAUCAGGCCCUCAAGCAUGCUUGGAUUCAUGAGCCACGGAACCUCAAACCACGGCCCAGGCCCCAGGCCCUGAGGAAACCCAAUGUCACUCUUCCUUCUGAGAUAAGCAAGAACAAGGUUCAAGAGUAUCAUCACUCAACCCAAACAGAUGAGACCACCAAAGAGACUGCAGACAAAAUAAAAGAUGGUGCCACUAAGAAUGUUCAGAAUUCAGCUGAUGAGCAGGACUCUGUCCAGCACACUACUGAGACUGUCCAGCUGCCUCCUCUAGUAGAAGCUCCCAGAAAACCAGAGGCUGUUACUGAACCAGAGGUGGCCAAACCCUCCACAGAACAAAGUGGCCCAAGCUCCUCCUCUAGUAAUACAAACAUUUUACCACGUAUUGUAUGACCCUUGCUGAAGGGUCCUGUGUCCCGUUCCUUUCCAGUGAUUUGUAUUCAAGACAGCACUUAUAUUGUAGAAUACUUCAGAUUGUUGUUUUUCAAUGCAUAAAGCUUCAUCCUGAUGACUGAAGGCUCAUCCCAGAAGUUAAGAUGACUACCAACAUCCAGUCAAAAGAUAGUCUUCCUUGCUGGCAGGGAAGUCUCAAAAAUGACUAUCUCAACUGUAUCUGAGAGACUGUGGUCCUCUGUGAUUCUCACCUGGAUUAUAAGCCCACCUUGUAGUUGUGUUGAAAAUGCCAUGACUGUUGCUUCUCUAGGAAGGAGUAGGGGAUAAAGUGCUUCCCGAAGGAGGGAAGUUGAUUUCAUAAGCAGGAUAUUUUCAUUCAUCCACCACUCCUCAAAUCCAAUAAAGUCCACUUAUUUCCCUUCUCA
This is a non-coding RNA of Ictidomys tridecemlineatus (thirteen-lined ground squirrel), 2534 nucleotides long. The record is from RefSeq and is a predicted model, not a curated record. NCBI's taxonomy places the organism in Eukaryota, Metazoa, Chordata, Mammalia, Rodentia, Sciuridae.